Molecule: microRNA precursor, 81 nt
Filed under: Pteropus vampyrus (large flying fox)
Lineage: Eukaryota; Metazoa; Chordata; Mammalia; Chiroptera; Pteropodidae
Description: miRNA (ENSPVAG00000027313.1)
Source: RNAcentral
CUCAAAGGGCUGGAGUGGUUGAAAUCUCUCUGGGGCCUCCAGAAUUGUUGCAUAAAUGUUGCAAAAAUCAGACCCGUGAGA